RNAcentral lists this ribosomal RNA (1016 nucleotides) under Dactylella sp. 'varietas'. Its description in RNAcentral is "eukaryotic LSU rRNA". The stretch from base 644 to 797 matches the Rfam family "5.8S ribosomal RNA". Lineage: Eukaryota; Fungi; Ascomycota; Orbiliomycetes; Orbiliales; Orbiliaceae. The record is from RNAcentral.
CCUUCUGCAGUGAUGUCUAUGAGAAGCCUUUGUGGCCCAGCAAUGGGUUACCUGCCGCGACUAUAAACAAGAGAUAGCGGGUAUUAAAUGCAGGUCAGCACCAGCUGGCGACACUUUCGAAUUGCGGGAACACCCUAAAGCCAGUCUACACCAACCAGUUGGGGAAAUCCAGCUGGGGCUCAUGCUAACAACAUGAGGUAUGGUAAUAGCGAGAUUGGAUAUAACAAUGGGCAAUCCGCAGCCAAAUCCCUACAGCUUCGGCCACGGGAGAGGUUCACAGACUAAGUGGAAGUGGGCUGCUCUUUCAGGGGCAGCUUAAGAUAUAGUCGGGUUCUGUAGGAAACUAUGGAAGAAUCACUGGGUGGUAGAUAGUUAACGGGUCCAACCGUUAACCAAAUCUUCAAAUCGAAAAACUUUCGAGCCGCUAUAAACUGUUCCGUAGGUGAACCUGCGGAAGGAUCAUUAAACAAUUUAUAGUCGUAACAAACUAUAUCAACCCUUUGUGAACCAAACAAACCUUUUCGCUUCGGUAGCAGGCUUGGGGUGCGAAAGCUCCCCCAAGCUGUCAGCCUGCCGGCAGCACCAAACCAAAAACCUGUUAUAAACUAUUGUCUGAACAGAAUCAUUUUCGAAUGAAAAUUAAAACUUUCAACAACGGAUCUCUUGGUUCUCGCAUCGAUGAAGAACGCAGCGAAACGCGAUAGUUAAUGUGAAUUGCAGAAUUCAGUGAAUCAUCGAGUCUUUGAACGCACAUUGCGCCCAUAGGUAUUCCUUUGGGCAUGUCUGUUUGAGCGUCAUUACAACCCUCAGCGCAAGCUGGUUAUGAGUUGGCUGCAACCUCUUGCUCGAAAGAGCAGAGGUGAAAUCCGGCUUUAAAGUUGUAUGCUCUGCUGGCUGCUUUGCCCGACCAAAACAUAGUAAAAUUUACGACUGUUUACAGAACGGCUUUGCGUGCUCGGCCUGAAUAAAACUCAACCCUUUCUUAGGUUGACCUCAGAUCAGAUAAGAUCCCGUCU